RNAcentral lists this ribosomal RNA (274 nucleotides) under uncultured bacterium. RNAcentral's name for it is "partial 16S ribosomal RNA". It matches the Rfam family "Bacterial small subunit ribosomal RNA", at positions 523 to 796 of the family's 1533-position model. The record is from RNAcentral.
AUACUAAGGGUGCAAGCGUUAAUCGGAAUUACUGGGCGUAAAGCGCACGUAGGCGGUUUAUUAAGUCAGAUGUGAAAGCCCUGGGCUUAACCUGGGAACUGCAUUUGAGACUGGUAGGCUAGAGUAUGGUAGAGGAUAGUGGAAUUCCGGGUGUAGCGGUGAAAUGCGUAGAUAUCCGGAGGAACAUCAGUGGCGAAGGCGGCUAUCUGGACCAAUACUGACGCUGAGGUGCGAAAGCGUGGGGAGCAAACAGGAUUAGAAACCCCAGUAGUCC